RNAcentral lists this ribosomal RNA (492 nucleotides) under uncultured bacterium. Its description in RNAcentral is "partial 16S ribosomal RNA". It matches the Rfam family "Bacterial small subunit ribosomal RNA", at positions 29 to 507 of the family's 1533-position model. The record is from RNAcentral.
AGUGAACGCUGGCGGUAGGCCUAACACAUGCAAGUCGAACGGCAUCACAGUAAUAGCUUGCUCUUACGGGUGGCGAGUUGCGGACGGGUUAGUAAUACAUCGUAAUCUACUUUUUCUUUGGUGAUAACGUAGGUUAACUUACGCUAAUACCGCAUACGACCUACGGGUGAAAUCAUGGGAUCUUCGAACCUUUCGCGUUUGAAUUAGCCCAUGUCGGAUUAUCUAGUUGGCGUGGUAAAGGCCCACCAAGUCCACGAUCCGUAGCUUGUCUGAGAGGAUGAUCAGCCACACUGGAACUGAGACACGGUCAAGAGUACUAAGGGAGGCAGCAGUGGGGAAUAUUGGACAAUGGGCGGAAGCAUGAUGCAGCAAUACCGCGUGGGUGAAGAAGGAAUUCGGGUUGUAAAGCCCUUUUGUUGGGAAAGAAAAGCAGCAGGUUAAUAGCCGGCUGUACUGACGGUACCAAAAGAAUAAGCACCGGCUAACUUCGUG